Molecule: long non-coding RNA, 232 nt
Filed under: Lathyrus oleraceus (garden pea)
Lineage: Eukaryota; Viridiplantae; Streptophyta; Magnoliopsida; Fabales; Fabaceae
Description: Pisum sativum (pea) long non-coding RNA (PSAT_LNC025097)
Source: RNAcentral
GAAGGUGGUGUUCAUGAUUGGGUGUAGAUGGGAGUGGUUUGGGUAAGAGAAGAAGCAAUUGGAUUUAAUUUAACAGAGCGAGAGGGAGGAAGAGACUUACUUGGACAAUCAGCCAGAGGGACUAGAGGUCUUGACCCAGAAGUUUCUCCCAAUUUAGUCUUUUUGACCUUCUUUGACUUUUCAGAAGGCUCUCGCAUCCUUUUCAUGAAGUUUGAUGGAUGCUCAGGCAGCC